This 520-nucleotide ribosomal RNA is filed under the name Tryblidiopsis sichuanensis. RNAcentral describes it as "eukaryotic LSU rRNA". The stretch from base 156 to 309 matches the Rfam family "5.8S ribosomal RNA". The record is from RNAcentral. Lineage: Eukaryota; Fungi; Ascomycota; Leotiomycetes; Rhytismatales; Rhytismataceae.
GCGGGAUUAGAUUCAUGCCUUACAGCCCUAUUCUCGCCCUCUGUAUUUGAAACUUCGUUGCUUUGGCAGGCCUCCUGGCUCCGGCUGGACAGCGCCUGCCAGAGGAUCUAAACCCUUGAAUCUUAUGCUGUCUGAGUAAUUAUAUAAUAUUUUAAAACUUUCAACAACGGAUCUCUUGGUUCUGGCAUCGAUGAAGAACGCAGCGAAAUGCGAUAAGUAAUGUGAAUUGCAGAAUUCAGUGAAUCAUCGAAUCUUUGAACGCACAUUGCGCCCUCUGGUAUUCCGGGGGGCAUGCCUGUUCGAGCGUCAUUACAACCCUCACGCCCUGCGUGGUGUUGGGCUCGCCCCUAUAAGGGCUUGCCUCAAAAUCAGUGGCGGCCGCUGUUCGACCCCUAAGCGUAGUAACUAUUUCGUCGCUUCUGGGCUAGAGCAAGCCUGUCAGGAACCCCCACCUUCAAAGGUUGACCUCGGAUCAGGUAGGGAUACCCGCUGAACUUAAGCAUAUCAAUAAGCGGAGGAA